RNAcentral lists this ribosomal RNA (160 nucleotides) under Olea europaea subsp. europaea. RNAcentral's name for it is "SSU_rRNA_eukarya". It matches the Rfam family "Eukaryotic small subunit ribosomal RNA", at positions 1668 to 1823 of the family's 1831-position model. Lineage: Eukaryota; Viridiplantae; Streptophyta; Magnoliopsida; Lamiales; Oleaceae. The record is from RNAcentral.
AAUGCCAAUCAUUCUUACUGAUUUAAUGUUCUAGUGAAGUGUUCAUAUCACAUCGACGUGGGCAGUUUGCUGCCCUCGACAUCAUGAGAAGUCCACUAAACCUUAUCAUUUAGAGAAAGGAAAAGUCAUAACAAGGUUUUCGUAGGUGAAUCUAUGGAAG